UGGUGGAGCGAUUUGUCUGGUUAAUUCCGUUAACGAACGAGACCUCAGCCUGCUAACUAGUUAUGCGGAGGUAUCCCUCCGCGGCCAGCUUCUUAGAGGGACUAUAGCCUUCCAGGCUAAGGAAGUUUGAGGCAAUAACA
This 140-nucleotide ribosomal RNA is filed under the name uncultured eukaryote. RNAcentral describes it as "partial 18S ribosomal RNA". It matches the Rfam family "Eukaryotic small subunit ribosomal RNA", at positions 1299 to 1458 of the family's 1831-position model. The record is from RNAcentral.